CACCUGAACUGGCCUCGUGACUGUGGUGACUAGGGUAACAGGUGGAUGAGUGGUGAUGGUCCCCCUGGGUGGUGAGCAGCUUCAUUCCUGGCACCAUAUUUUAGUGAUUUCUUUAUCCCCAGGGCUGGUGCUCGACCCACAGUGUCAGGGUUGAAGUGUGUGGCCCCAAGUCCUUAUGUUGAAGUUUUAGCCCCCAAGUACCCUAGAAUGAGACAUUAUUUGGAGACAAGGUCUUUACAGAGGAAACCAUUUGAAAAGGAGGUCUUGAGUGGGGUGUGGUGGUGCUCAUCUGUAAUCCUAGCUGCUUGGGGGGCUGAGGCCCUUGGUGUCCAGAAGGAAUUGGUUCUAGAACUCUCUGCAGUUCUUAUAUAAAAUGGUAUAGCUUUGCAUGAAACCUACACACAUCCUCCAGAUCACCUGUGAAACCUAGUAAAAUGUAAAUUACAUGUAAAUAACGGUCAUUCUGUGUUGUUUUGGGAAUAACGAUGAGGAAAACAUCUGAACACGUUCAGUACAGAUGCAUUUUUUUUUUUAAUGCUUUGCAACUGCAGAUGCAGAGGCGGGAUGGAGGGCCAAGUGUAUUUGUUUUAAAUAGUAUCUUUUCUUUUAUGAUUUCCUUCCCUUCUCUUCUGGCCUCCCUGGAAUGUCCCUCAUUCUCUCUUUUGAGCAGACAGCUUGCUCUUCAGGAUGAUAAGAGGCGGGUAAGGUUUUGGGAUGUUAAAGAAUUAUGUGAAGCACCGUGAGGCUGAGCCUCAGCUUGGGCUACGGAGCCUGGAGCAGGUGAAGUGGAGCCUGCGAACCUGUGCUGAUCUGCGGGAAUCCAGGGGAGGGCUGCCUCCUCCAGCGAGGCUGAGGGUCCUCUAGAUCUUGGCAGGUGGAUGCUUUAGCAAGGCUGGGGACAUUCUGGCUGUGAGGAUGUUACGAGCCAAGUCUGAGGGCAGCUGAAUGUCUGGGCUCCUGCUGGGGAUGAGGGGGUGAUGGUGGGAGACACAGAGACGGAGACAAGGUACCCCGAGGGUCACCACACAGGCGGUGAGAAGCAAUCAGGAGUCAGCCUGGAGGUGAUGCCGGGAACCUUCUAGAAGGUGGACUGGGUGGUAGUGUCCACUGGGUCAAGAGACAGGAGAAAGAAGGUAGAGAUGCACAAAAGAGGGACUCAGACCCCAGGAGCUGGCUAGACACACAGGCCUGAAGGAGGGGAAGGGCAAAGGGACCCUACCAGGCCCCCAGCGUUCCGUCUGUUUGCUUGGUACUGGGGACCAAACCCAGGGGCGCUUUACCACUGAGCUAUAGCCCCAGCCUUUUUUGUGUUUUUGUUUUGAGGCAGGCAGGGUCUCACUAAAUGCUGAGGCUGGCCUGGAACUUGAGAGCCUCCUGCCUCUGCCUCUGGAGUCCCGCCCGGGAUUACAGCUGCGCACCCCGGCACCUGGCUAAGGCCCUGCACUCUUGACCGAGCUUGACGUGGACUGCACGUCGACUCACAAGAGUUUGAGGCCCGUAGGCACUAGUGACGGCAUUUUAAAAGCCACCUCCGGGUUUUAUAAUGAACAGAGGCGAUGUCCCAUGCACAGUGACGACUAUUUUGCAAAUGAGAAACAGUUGAAUACUGUUUUCUUAAACCUCUCUGACGGAGCUGGGAAGAUGUGGAGGAGCAUGCACACUUACUGCCCUUUGGCAAAGGAAUCUUCUCUUGUCCCAUGUGGAAAGACAUAAAUUUGGGGGACCCCUGCCCCUUCCCUAGGUUUCUGUGGCCCAUGGUUAGCAAACUCCUCAAAUGAAUUUCAAAGUCACUUUCCAAUCAGCUGCAAAACUACUUAAGCCACUCCUUUGUUCUGGUCCUGAAGUCAGAGCGACCCUGUAAACUCCCCAAGCGUCCCGACCAUGAGAAGUCUGAUGGUAAAAUGACAUGUUUGGAAGUCGCUGCGAACGCUGGCAGCUGGACGCGAUGAUAAAUCUGAGCCAUUUCACAUGGUCACUUGGGUCAGUAAUAAAAAACAUGAACUUAAAAUAUAUUUCCUCUUGCCUUUCAUGGCCAUAAAGAUCAAUAAAUUUCAUAAAGUUUCAAGAUAAA
Ictidomys tridecemlineatus (thirteen-lined ground squirrel) is the source of this 2071-nucleotide long non-coding RNA. RefSeq lists it as uncharacterized. The record is from RefSeq and is a predicted model, not a curated record. Lineage: Eukaryota; Metazoa; Chordata; Mammalia; Rodentia; Sciuridae.